UGAUUUUCUUCCAGACAGACUUAUUGUUCAUUUAUUUUACUGGUGUAGUUAGUAAUUUUAUUAAUGUUUCAAAACACCUUCUUGAAAGAAAUCUUGGAGUGGAGAAUCAUUCUGAAAGUAGACCAAAUCCAGGACAACAUCACAGCAGUGGUCGGAAAAAUGCAGCAAGCCAAGCUGACUUUCAAAAGAUGAUUCGUUAUCUGUUUCUUCAGAGGGGAGGCAGUUUGGGAGAUGGGAAUUAGGACGAUGCUACAGUUACACAGGGCAAAUUUCAGCAGCUCAGUUUCAAACUUGCAACUAACAUUGAGUUAUAGUUAGAAGACCACGGAAAUAUUUGACAUCGGAGUCCAGGAGACAGCCAGAGACACGCACACACACGCAGCUGAAGCGCGUUUGACUGACGCGUACGGGAGAUCCGGCACGCGCACGGGCGCUCGCGCACGCUCACACAAACACGGA
Non-coding RNA from Paramisgurnus dabryanus, 459 nucleotides. NCBI's taxonomy places the organism in Eukaryota, Metazoa, Chordata, Actinopteri, Cypriniformes, Cobitidae. The record is from RefSeq and is a predicted model, not a curated record.